RNAcentral lists this ribosomal RNA (1343 nucleotides) under uncultured bacterium. Its description in RNAcentral is "16S ribosomal RNA". It matches the Rfam family "Bacterial small subunit ribosomal RNA", at positions 28 to 1378 of the family's 1533-position model. The record is from RNAcentral.
GACGAACGCUGGCGGCUUGCUUAACACAUGCAAGUCGAACGGAAAGGCCCUGCUUUUGUGGGGUGCUCGAGUGGCGAACGGGUGAGUAACACGUGAGUAACCUGCCCUUGACUUUGGGAUAACUUCAGGAAACUGGGGCUAAUACCGGAUAGGAGCUCCUGCUGCAUGGUGGGGGUUGGAAAGUUUCGGCGGUUGGGGAUGGACUCGCGGCUUAUCAGCUUGUUGGUGGGGUAGUGGCUUACCAAGGCUUUGACGGGUAGCCGGCCUGAGAGGGUGACCGGCCACAUUGGGACUGAGAUACGGCCCAGACUCCUACGGGAGGCAGCAGUGGGGAAUAUUGCACAAUGGGCGGAAGCCUGAUGCAGCAACGCCGCGUGCGGGAUGACGGCCUUCGGGUUGUAAACCGCUUUCGCCUGUGACGAAGCGUGAGUGACGGUAAUGGGUAAAGAAGCACCGGCUAACUACGUGCCAGCAGCCGCGGUGAUACGUAGGGUGCGAGCGUUGUCCGGAUUUAUUGGGCGUAAAGGGCUCGUAGGUGGUUGAUCGCGUCGGAAGUGUAAUCUUGGGGCUUAACCCUGAGCGUGCUUUCGAUACGGGUUGACUUGAGGAAGGUAGGGGAGAAUGGAAUUCCUGGUGGAGCGGUGGAAUGCGCAGAUAUCAGGAGGAACACCAGUGGCGAAGGCGGUUCUCUGGGCCUUUCCUGACGCUGAGGAGCGAAAGCGUGGGGAGCGAACAGGCUUAGAUACCCUGGUAGUCCACGCUGUAAACGGUGGGUACUAGGUGUGGGGUCCAUUCCACGGGUUCCGUGCCGUAGCUAACGCUUUAAGUACCCCGCCUGGGGAGUACGGCCGCAAGGCUAAAACUCAAAGGAAUUGACGGGGCCCCGCACAAGCGGCGGAGCAUGCGGAUUAAUUCGAUGCAACGCGUAGAACCUUACCUGGGUUUGACAUGGAUCGGGAGUGCUCAGAGAUGGGUGUGCCUCUUUUGGGGUCGGUUCACAGGUGGUGCAUGGCUGUCGUCAGCUCGUGUCGUGGGAUGUUGGGUUAAGUCCCGCAACGAGCGCAACCCUUGUUCACUGUUGCCAGCACGUUAUGGUGGGGACUCAGUGGAGACCGCCGGGGUCAACUCGGAGGAAGGUGGGGAUGACGUCAAGUCAUCAUGCCCCUUAUGUCCAGGGCUUCACGCAUGCUACAAUGGCUGGUACAGAGAGUGGCGAGCCUGUGAGGGUGAGCGAAUCUCGGAAAGCCGGUCUCAGUUCGGAUUGGGGUCUGCAACUCGACCUCAUGAAGUCGGAGUCGCUAGUAAUCGCAGAUCAGCAACGCUGCGGUGAAUACGUUCCCGGG